RNAcentral lists this long non-coding RNA (1021 nucleotides) under Callithrix jacchus (white-tufted-ear marmoset). Its description in RNAcentral is "lncRNA (ENSCJAG00000078299.1)". The record is from RNAcentral. Lineage: Eukaryota; Metazoa; Chordata; Mammalia; Primates; Cebidae.
UUUAAAUAUGAAGGAACUAAACUUAGUUUAUGCUCUGUGGUUUCCUUUGUUUAACUGCUGAGAAUCAGGCUAAAGUUACUGCCUUUCCUGCUUAAAAAGGAUGCUAGACUCCUCACAGAGGAGCCAAGAAAAAGUUUCUGAAGCGAGAUCUCUGACUGAAGACCAUCCAGCUAGAGGCUGAUCGUGGAGAACCUGUCCUGUCAUGAGCCAACCUAUUCUACUCACAGAGGUUUGACUUGGUAGACUGUUUUUCUCCCUGAGGGCUCUGAUCAGGAUGAGAGAACAAGAUGGAGAGUCAGACUUCCGAGUCCCUAGGUUCUCAGCACUUGACCCUCACAACGUGGCAUUCCUUCAGGCUCUGGCCUGACAAAACCAUGGAGUCCCCAGGAGAACCAGAUGUUCGGUCACUGCUGUAAGAAUGUGAGACUGAGAGGUCUACGAACACUCACUGAAUCUCGACAACCACAAACACCCAAUUCAGGGCACCGGAGCCUCUUCCCCAACCUUAGGGAUGAUAAAACCAAGACUUGGAGAGAGUUUGAGUUACCUGCCCAUGUUCAUAUAGCUGAAGUUGAAGACGCCAAAGGGGACAGGGGAAGAUAAAGCAGUUGCAAGCCCUGCUGCUGUCCCACACCAAUGAAGCAAGUCAGUGCAUAAGUGCAUGAGCUGCAGACACAUCUGGUGACCCUGCCUGGGCUUCGGACAAUAUAAAACAAUAUGGCUGCUGCUUUGCUUCUGCCUUCCAACUGUCAUACCAAAAAAAAAGAUUCUCUCAUGGCCCACCUUACCCUGUAACGUAUAAGGAAAAGAAUUCUGGAAAAUAUAGUUCAGUCUAGCCAAAUCUCUAUGGCUCCUCAUUAUCUCAUCUGUAUCCCCCAAACCCCUUAGAAGUUGUACCUUACACUGACCUCUCCUCAAGACUUCAAAAAUCACUUUCAACCAAUUGACAAAACACAUACAGUAUAUCAAGCAGGGUCCUGGAAGGAAACAGAUGGCACCCUCAAAUUAGGAAGACUUGAAG